AUGUGUGAGGUACUCGGAAUUGAGGAUGAGACUGAGGAUGCUCAACCAGUAAAUGAGCCCGUUCCGGUUGUUGCCGGCCAUGUUAGUGAUGAGUUAAUGGCUGAAGGAGCUAUAUCAGUUGAUGAUCACGUUCCCGAGGAGAUAGAAAUGUCAUAUGACAAAGAUUAUCCUAAAGUUGAGAAAGGCUCAAUCUUUCCAACAAUGAUAGAUUGUAGGAGGGCUGUGAGGCAAUGGGCAAUUAAUGAAGAAUUUAACCUCGGAACUCACAGAGCUAAUAAGAGUAUGUGGAUGGCACAUUGUAUGGCUGAGGAUUGUCCAUGGAAAAUAACAUGUCGUUUGAUGGCUGAUAAGACAAAGACCAGGGUACCAACAUAA
Molecule: ribosomal RNA, 375 nt
Filed under: Triticum aestivum (bread wheat)
Lineage: Eukaryota; Viridiplantae; Streptophyta; Magnoliopsida; Poales; Poaceae
Description: partial small subunit ribosomal RNA
Source: RNAcentral